GAUUCCAUAGUGUAGUGGUUAGCAUGUCUGCUUUACAUGCAGAAGAUCCUGGGUUCGCACCCCUGUGGAGCCA
This 73-nucleotide transfer RNA is filed under the name Pteropus alecto (black flying fox). It matches the Rfam family "tRNA". Rfam says of the family: Transfer RNA (tRNA) molecules are approximately 80 nucleotides in length. Their secondary structure includes four short double-helical elements and three loops (D, anti-codon, and T loops). Lineage: Eukaryota; Metazoa; Chordata; Mammalia; Chiroptera; Pteropodidae. The record is from Rfam by way of RNAcentral.